CAAGUGCAUGUGCUUUCCUUGGGAAGUAUAUAGGGAACAAAAGUUCUUACUUCCGGGCCGGCACACUGGGCUGCAACUUCGGGAUUAGUUUAAGGGUAUAUUUGUAAAUCAUAAUAUUUCUUUAUAAGCCCUAGGAUUUCAGUAGAAGAAGAGUUGAAGACUACUAGUAUCAGGGAGAGAGAGUGCGGCGGCGGUGAGAGAAAAACGCCAGUAAUCAGAGUUCUGCUCUUGCCGUUUCCAAAAUCAGAUGGGGGCUUAUGAUGAAGAUAAUUUUGGCUUUAUAUGGGAAGCUUUACAUAUACCUUGGAGAGAAGAGAGACCUGGAUCUUAGAAAUUGUCUCUCAAAAUGACUUAUCCUCUCAAAUCUAGGAUGUUUGAUGAAAUUUUCUUCUUGAUACCAUCGGAGUUUUCUAUGUAAGGGAUGGUGCUGGGUGAAUCCUACUUCCUGUCUUAGGUUUAUCUUGCGGUUCAUCAUCUUCGAACUCCUAAGCUUCGGAAAUAGAUCAAUUUUUGAGUACUGACCUCACCCUCAAAAUUGGGUAUCAAGUUUGUGCCAUAGACCUCUCUACCACUGCUGAAAUAGUAAAUUGUAAAUCUGCUGGUAAUUCGUUCCUGAGAUAGAGAUGUUUUAAGUUGUUUGUUUUUUCAUCAUCAUUAUCUAAAAAGGCUUGUCGGGUAUGUUUACGAGUACAUCACCAUCAGUUGACAAGUCCUCCAUACAUUAUAAGCUUGCUUCACGCAAUGUAUAACCUCUUGCAAUGCAGCCAUCAAUAUAUCUUUUAUUUGCGUA
Papaver somniferum (opium poppy) is the source of this 790-nucleotide long non-coding RNA. RefSeq lists it as uncharacterized. The record is from RefSeq and is a predicted model, not a curated record. NCBI's taxonomy places the organism in Eukaryota, Viridiplantae, Streptophyta, Magnoliopsida, Ranunculales, Papaveraceae. The transcript has 2 exons.